RNAcentral lists this ribosomal RNA (468 nucleotides) under uncultured bacterium. RNAcentral's name for it is "partial 16S ribosomal RNA". It matches the Rfam family "Bacterial small subunit ribosomal RNA", at positions 28 to 507 of the family's 1533-position model. The record is from RNAcentral.
GACGAACGCUGGCGGCGUGCUUAACACAUGCAAGUCGAACGGACAGGCCCUGCUUUUGUUGGUUGCUCGAGUGGCGAACGGGUGAGUAACACGUGAGUAACCUGCCCUUGACUUUGGGAUAUCUUCAGGAAACUGGGGCUAAUACCGGAUAUGACCUCCUGCUGCAUGUUGUUCUUUGGAAAGUUUCGGCGGUUGUGGAUGGACUCGCGGCUUAUCCGCUUUUUUGUGGGGUAGUGGCUUACCAAGGCUUUGACGGGUAGCCGGCCUGGGAGGGGUACCGGCGACAUGGGGACUGAGAGACGGACCAGAAUCCUACGGGAGGCAGCAGGGGGGAAUAUUGCACAAUGGGCGGAAGCCUGAGGCAGCGGCGCCGCGUGCGGGAUGACGGCCUUCGGGUUGUAAACCGAUUUCGAAGGUGACGAAGAGUGAGUGACGGUAAUGGGUAAAGAAGCAACGGCUAACUACGUG